This 468-nucleotide ribosomal RNA is filed under the name uncultured bacterium. RNAcentral's name for it is "partial 16S ribosomal RNA". It matches the Rfam family "Bacterial small subunit ribosomal RNA", at positions 28 to 507 of the family's 1533-position model. The record is from RNAcentral.
GACGAACGCUGGCGGCGUGCUUAACACAUGCAAGUCGAACGGAAAGGCCCUGCUUUUGUGGGGUGCUCGAGUGGCGAACGGGUGAGUAACACGUGAGUAACCUGCCCUUGACUUUGGGAUAACUUCAGGAAACUGGGGCUAAUACCGGAUAGGAGCUCCUGCUGCAUGGUGGGGGUUGGAAAGUUUCGGCGGUUGGGGAUGGACUCGCGGCUUAUCAGCUUGUUGGUGGGGUAGUGGCUUACCAAGGCUUUGACGGGUAGCCGGCCUGAGAGGGUGACCGGCCACAUUGGGACUGAGGUACGGACCAGACUCCUACGGGAGGCAGCGGUGGGGAAUAUUGCACAGUGGGCGGAAGCCUGAUGCAGCAACGCCGCGUGCGGGAUGACGGCCUUCGGGUUGUAAACCGCUUUCGCCUUUGACGAAGCGUGAGUGACGGUAAUGGGUAAAGAAGCACCGGCUAACUACGUG